CCUACGGGAGGCAGCAGUGGGGAAUUUUGGACAAUGGGCGCAAGCCUGAUCCAGCCAUUCCGCGUGAGUGAAGAAGGCCUUCGGGUUGUAAAGCUCUUUCGCAAGGGAAGAAAACUUAGUCACUAACAAUGACUGAGGUUGACGGUACCUUGAUAAGAAGCACCGGCU
Molecule: ribosomal RNA, 168 nt
Filed under: uncultured bacterium
Lineage: Bacteria
Description: partial 16S ribosomal RNA
Rfam family: Bacterial small subunit ribosomal RNA
Source: RNAcentral